UAUGUUGCCCAGGCUGAUCUCAAACUUCUGGGCUUAAGGGAUACUCUUACGUUGGCCUCCCAAAGUGCUGAGAUUACAUGUGUGAGCCACUGGCCCUGGCCUAGUUGUAAUUUUUUAUAGCAGCCUCAGAAAAUGAAUAUAGGACUUCCACUCCACUUAUCAGGUGAGAUAGCAUUACGGUAACAUUUCCAAUUACAUUCUCUCUCUUCAUUUUAUACUCCACCUUUUUCACAAAAUAAGAAUUAUUUAUCUGAUUUGUGAUAUUGUGGAAUUCGCUCAUAGCAGCUAAUAUUCUUCUGGGCUGUGUUUUAGGCUAAUCUAUAGGGUGGAUAUGUUCUUCUACUGAUCUCCUCCACGAAGUAAGCAAGCCUGAUUGCUAAUUAUGUAAGCAAACCUGAUUGAUGAUCCCGAGCCUGUUUUCUAGAAGCUCUCUAGGCUCAAGGGUUGCAAGACAGCACAUAAUUCCCCAUGUAGCUGACUGGACAUAUUUGCUUUGGAGACUCUCUUUUUAGAUGGAUUGCAAAUUUGGGCUUUUGCUUGUGUGUGUGUAUGUGUGUGUGCCCGUGUGCAUGUGCAUGUGUGUAUUUGUGUGUAUGGAGCCUCAUUUGGGUUGCACAUACUCUAAUUUCUAUCUGAAGAAUGGAUCUAUCUCUGAGAAUCAAACUUAGAAGGAGGAGAGGGUUAUCACUGGCACUUUACAGAGCCAUCCCCAAGAGAAGGUAUUCACUAAACAUUUGUAAAAAUGAAUAAAAAUCAAAAGGAUUUGAUUCAAUAGAUCUCACAGAAUUUGACUUAACAAGACUGGGUGGUACUUAACCGUUGGAGUUGAAGAAGAAAGAGUGUAAGAUGAUGCUGAAGUUUCUCACUUGGUGUAUGAAGAUAAUCGUGUUCUUAACUGGGUAUUUGUGUAUAAGAACAGUCAGAAUAUAGAGGAGUUUAUUUUAGUUUGGGAUAUAGUUGACAGAGAUCUUUGUAAGUCACCUAGAUGAGGAUUUCCAGGAGAUGGUUUGAAAUGCUGUUUGGAGCUGAGGCUGGAAUUGGAAAUAUGGAUUUGGAAUGAGAUAAUACGGAAAUGUAUAUGCAAUGGAGCACUUUACUUUUGAGGGCUGAAUAGAGGCAAAGAUUCCGGAAAGGGUAACCAAAGAAGUUUUCAUAAACUUUGGAAGAAAACCAAGAAAAAAUGGCAUUUCAGAAGUCAGAAAGGAGAAAAUUUCAGGAAGGAGGAAGUUUUAAAUAGUAUCAAGUGUUGCUGAGACAUUCAGCAGAAUUAAAACAAAAAACAGGUAGAAUUCCAUUAUAUAUAUAUUUUUUACCCUGAGAUUUAUUUACAGAAAAGGCAGUUUGAAUAAAGUGGCAAAAAGCAAACUAAAAAUGAUCUUUUCUAGUUGCUACCAAGUUGCUAGAAAGUCAGGGUGGAAGCAAAGUUUUUUGAAAACAGGGGACCUUUAGUGUGAAUGUAAUGAGUGUUGGAGAAAGCUGGUCAUAUGAGCUCUGUGAAAUCACGGAGUGUGGUUAGGCCCAGAAGAGGGGAUUUGUGAGCUGGGGAGGAGGCAUAUGAUAAAAGAAACAGGCGUUUAUUGAGCAUCUACUAUGAACCAGAAGGUUUUACUUUUUGAAACUGGGUAACGAGGUACAUGCAGAAGUCAUCAACCAAGAUAGAAAAUCAUGGGGGAAAAAACCGGUCUUUAAGUUAUUGGUAAGAACAUGGUGAAAGGGCUAAUUAGGGGGGCCUGGGCUGAGUGGCCAUGGAUGUGAAGUUAGCUGGGAAGAGCAGUCAGUGGUCUUGCUGACUGAGGGGUUGAGGGGCUGGAGGUCACAAAGAGGAUGACUUUCCAUAGAUGAGUCAUGAGUACAACACCACAUAUUAUUUCAAUCUCUUAUCAAGGUCUACUUCAUAUUCAGUUAGUUAUGAUGCUGAAGAUACAGCCCAUCAACCCUAAGAUUCCAUCAAUUGCAAAUCUUACCAUUAUUUUAUGUAUUAGUAAGAAAGAGAAGAAGAAAUAAAACAACUUUAUAUGAAUUGAUCACAGCAACCUCUUACUGCUUUGAAAUGUCUCUCAGCUCUUCCAGGGGGUGUGGCAAUUUGUCCUGCCCCCAGUUGCCUUCCUUGCCUUGUGAUAGGCAAUCAUUUUGCACACACCUCAGUAACAAACUCUAACAUCAUAUUCUUGUGAACAUCUUUUUUAGCUCCUGUAAAGCACUUGUUAUUCCUUUAUAAGAAAAUAUGGAAGCAUAGUCAUUCUUCUCCUACAGUGAAUAUUUUCUGCUCAGUUUUUAUGUCUUUGUAUAUACACAAUAGACUGUUUAUUUUACUUAUGUCAAAUUUAUACCCCUCUGCUCUGUUUUCUGUGUCUUUUUACUUUCUUGAAAUCUUUUAUCUAAAUGUCAAAUCAUAGUUAAAUUCAAUGCUGUGGUACUGAUAUAUUAGUGUAUUUUCUGUUGCUUAUAACAGAAUAUCUGAAACUGGGUAGUUUAUAAAGAAAAGGAAUUUAUUUCUUAAGGUUAUGGAGGCUGGGAAGGCCAAGAUUGAGGGGCCGUAUCUGGUGAGGGCCUUCUUGCUGGUGAGGACUCUGAAGAGUCGUGUGGCGGUGCAGGGCAUCACAUGGUGAGGGGACUGAGUGUGCUAACAUGCUGGCUCAUGGUCCAAUCACCUCUUAAAGGCCCCACCUCUCAAUAUGCCACAUUAAGUUUCAACAUGAGUUUUGCAGGCAACAUUCAAACCAUAGCAACCAGGUUGUACAUCAUUCAAUAGAGAUGACGACAUUCCUAUGAACAGGUGUGACCAAUGCUGUACAUACCUCAGCAAUGACAACUAGAUCAUGACGGUGCCUCGAUGACAGGAAUUGUAAAAUGCAACUCCCUGGAAUGUAGAAUUGCAUUCCAAUUUCAGAGAUGUUAAAUAUGAAAAUAAAAAUGUGUCUUAGUAUUGCUGAAAUAUAAAAAUUAAAUUUUAUAGAAAUACGGUAAUUGAAAUUCACAGUUAAACUUCAACCUUAAUUAUGACUACUCUUUGCUACCUAGCUUAUUUUUAGCAUUCCUAACAGAUACUGUGUGAAAACUGAUUUGAGUCUUAACUUUUCUUAUAUUCUUUGUUAUCCCCUGAAGGAAGUGUGAAAUGCCCAAGAAGCCAGUGCUGUGGGAAGGGGAAAAAUGAAGUCUUGUGUAUUUUGCCCCCAAUAACUCAAACUGGUGUAUGCGUCUCCAUCAGACAACGGAAGUCUCAGUGGAUUUCUCUCCAGCCUUCAUUGUGAGAACCUGGUAGAGAUCGUGGAGAACUCACAAAAGCAUGAGGUUGCCCCUGUGAAUGGCCCCUCUGGAGUUUUUAACCCUCAGACCUGUCCACACCAAGGCUUCAGCCACUCUUCAGUUACAGCUUAGGUUUUCCUAGCCUUUCCUGUGGAGGUUUCUGCUCAUGGAGUUCUGCUCUGGUAAGUUAUUAUUCUUUGUAACCACCUGUCUGUCUCCAGCUUUGAGGGCAGCAGUUUGAUGUGACCUCACUUCUCUGACAGAUCUAAGAAAAGUUACUGAUUUUCAUUUUGUUCGGCUUUUUACUUGUUGCUAGGACAGAGUGAUGACUUCCAAGCUUCUUACAUGUCAGACCAGAAACUGGAAGUCUGCAUCAUUCUGUUUACCUUCCUGGGCCCUAAAAACAUAACAAAGCAGAUUUCUUGUCAGAAUCUGUGUGUCAAUGAUAUGGUUUGGAUCUGUGUCCCUGUUCAAAUCUCAUGUUGAAAUGUAAUCCCCUGUGUUGGAGGUGGGGCUUGGUGGGACGUGAUUGGAUCGCGGGGGUUGUUUCUCAUGGUCUGACACCAUCUCCCUUGGUGCUGUCAUUCCCAUAGUGAGUCCUCAUGAGAUCUGGUUGUUUAAAAGUGUGUGGCAGGUGCCCCUUCUCUCUCUUGCUUCUUUUCUAGCCAUGUGAAGUGCUGUUCUCAUUUUACCUUCUGCUAUGAUUGUAAGUUUCCUGAGGCCUCCCAAGAAGCUGAACAGAUGCCACUACACUUUCUGUACAGCCUGUGGAACUGUGAGCCAAUUACACCUCUUGUCCUUAUUAAUUACCCAGUCUCGGGUAUUUAUUUAUAGCAGUGCAAGAACUGACUAAUACAGUUCAGUAGGCAUUAUAAAUUUAUUAUUUGAAAUGCCAUCUUUAGUAUAAAAAUAGAAAAUAGAAGCAUUUGGUAUACCAAUAAUAAAUAAUAUUUCCAUGUAUCAGAAACACAACAAACCCACAAAGUUAUAAUUGGGGGUUGGUUCUGGGCCUUGCUGGGCUUUAUGUCUGAAAGGGAGCAGGAGUUUCUUAAAACUAGGAGACUGAAUGAAGCUCCCCUGGUUAAGAAACAAGUCUGGAAAACUCCUUAGGGCUAUCACUUCUGUGAAGUUUUGUAACCAGGAAAGAAAGAAACUGUAUAAGCACACAACCAAAAUCUUAAGCAAGCCCCACACCUUGGCAGAUCAUCAAUACCUGCAAUACCACACAGCAUAUGGGGGAGAGAGGUAGUUGCGAGCCACCACUAGAAGUAGAAGUUGAGGGCUCUGAAGGGCCAGGUAGAAACAACCCCAAACCUGGAGACUGGCUGGAAAGGAUGAAAGAGAAAAAAAUUUCACCUAAGAUGAGCUGAAGUACACAGUCCAAAACAUGAGGAAGUCUAGUCUAAGAGAGAAAGCCAACAUUUGUGACAAAUUUACUUUACGUAUAAUUAAAAUAAUAGAAUAAGGCCGGGUGCGGUGGCUCACGCCUGUAAUCCCAGCACUUUGGGAGGCUGAGGUGGGUGGAUCACAUAUGGCCAGGAGUUCAAGACUAGCCUGGCCAACAUGGCGAAGCCCAUCUCUAAUUAAAAAAUAUUAAAAUUAGCUGGGCGUUGUGGCAGGCACCUGUAAUCCUAGCUACUCUGGAGGCUGAGGCAGGAAAAUUGCUUGAACCCAGGAAGCAGAGGUUGCAGUGAGCCAAGAUCGCACCACUGCACUCCAGCCUGGGCGACAGAGUGAGACUCCAUCUCAAAAAGUAAAUAAAUAAAUAAAUAAAAAGAAAAUAAUAAAAUAAUAGAAUAAGAUAAAGAAGGCUUUAAACACACGAGUUUAGGAUCAUCAGAGUGGUAAAUAAAAGGAAAAGGACCGGGUGUAGUCACUCACACCUGUAAUCCCAGUAUUUUGGGAGGCAGAGGAAGGAGGGUUGCUUGAGCCUGGGAAUUCAAGACCAACUUGCGCAUUAGAGUGAGAGCCCCAUCUCCACUGGAAAAAAAAAAAAGGAAAAGAAUUAACCAAACAAAAAAAGGCAGAAA
Molecule: long non-coding RNA, 5276 nt
Organism: Gorilla gorilla gorilla (western lowland gorilla)
Lineage: Eukaryota; Metazoa; Chordata; Mammalia; Primates; Hominidae
Exons: 2
Source: RefSeq, a predicted model, not a curated record